Gasterosteus aculeatus aculeatus (three-spined stickleback) is the source of this 1767-nucleotide long non-coding RNA. Lineage: Eukaryota; Metazoa; Chordata; Actinopteri; Perciformes; Gasterosteidae. The record is from Ensembl.
AUUAAUAUUAACAAUGAUAACAGCAGCAGUUGUCUGCAGGGCCGUGGCAUGAGGCAGGAACAGCAUUCACACAGAUCCAUGGAAUCCUGUGAGGCAAGAAGGAGAAUUAGUUGUGUGCAAUGAGAUUGUGACCCCCAGCAGCAGGCCUCCCUCUGCCCUGCCCCCCCCGGCCCCCCUCUGCCUCCUCCUGGCUGCAGCUCUGGCUCUGCUGGCCGGUCUGAUCUGGCUCAUCGUGGAGCCGGCGUAUCACUGCAGCAGCAGGGCGCCUCGGGGCUUCCACCUGGCUCUAAGGUACGUCAACGGACCCCCGCCUACAUGAAGACCACCCUGAGACCCUCAUGACCGCCGAAAAGUCAUUCAUUCUCAAAAGAAAAGGACUCCUAACAUCAUAGCAUUAGAGAUGUGGAGAGAUGAAGCCAAUAGUCGUAGCCAGAAAGCCUCUGUGCCUUGCAUUACCAAAAAUAUUUAAUGAAGCAGAAAAUAAUUGUUGUAUUAGAAGAUGGGUUGGCUUGCUUGCACAGGUUCCAAUUUCAACUGCUGUCUGUGAUAUUGUAACACUUUGUUUGAUGAUUUAUGUCCAAAUUAUGAAGAAUGUCCUACGUGAUUUCAAUCACUGGCUGCCUUGUUACACUGACAGCACUUGUAUUUAUAAUUCAUCAAGAUGUUUUGCAAAAUGACAAAAUGGAAUUAUUAUUUUUUUUUUUAAUGCAUCCAUCACCUAUUUAUACAUCACUUUUGGCCUUUUCUCAGACAAACAAAAGUGUGUAUGAACUAUGUUUUCUCUUUUUCCAGGCUGCUUUUGUUUUCAAUUAAUUGCUUGAAGACUUAAACAGUCAGCGGAAAAAUGAUCCCUUAAUGUCAAGACAAAUAUCUAUUUAUUGAAGCCAAACUGCUCAUUUGACAUUUUUCUGUACAACUUCCCCACAGAUAAUUUCACUGUGACCAAAAUAAAAGCAUGAUGAAUUAUUUCCAGCAAUAGUUUCCCCCCCUCAAAGACACAGAAGCCAUUUUGUAUUUACUAUCGCUGUGAGAUUUUGACUAAUUUAUAAAGGAAAGAAUGUGAGCAGUUCUUGAGUCCUUGAGAAGAAACUUUGACAUGUGUAAAUCCCACCAAUGUCAACAUCAGCGAACGACGAGGGCAAAUGAAGACAAUAAUGCAGAAACACACACACACACUGCAGUACACAGGGAUCACAGGCAGUGAAACACAAACAUGACGGUACACAGUUUGACUUGUUCGACGGCCGUGAUGCCGGACGCUGCUGCCUGGUGUAGCAUGUGGGGUCAGGGAGGACGGGAGAGUUUCAGGUAGCCAUUAUGUCCCAGAUGUGUGGAAAACAGCGGUUUGUGAAUUGAGCUUUGCUUUGGACAGCGAGCGCCUCCCCACCGUGAGUCUAAGCCGGUUGUCUUUUUGUCAUUUUAUCCAUGGACAUUUCUUCUUUUUAGGAUGACACGGUUGUUGAGUCGAUUCUCUUGUUUGUUGGAGCAGCUUCAUACAACUCAAAUGUCUCAGGGGAAAACGUCUGCCCAGGUUUCCUAAAAGGUUUCAUUUCAAGAGGAUGACAUUACCGUCCAAUUUUGUGUCAGUGGCUGCAGGAUGAUGAAGACGUUGUGUGUUUGGCAAAAUCAUAGAAAAGAGAACUUCUAAGUCUAGAAAGAUUGAACUUUUAGUUUGUCAUUGUUUCAGAAACCGAUAUUGCAUCAAGUCAAAUGUUUAUGCUUUUGUACAUGUAUUUCAAUAUGACCAAUAAAAGGAAAUGUAUGAAA